AGCGUCAGCGCUUUGUAUCGGUCUGUAACGUUUUCAGAGUUUUUCCGAGGGGCUUACGCUUCUUUACGUUGUGAUCGACCAAUCGGUAAUGUGCGCUGUUUCCAGCCCCGCCCACAUUCUCCAGUGCGUAUGUGCUUUAACACUUCUGAGAUCUGAGUCAUGAAUCAGCUGAGCGGCGAUCACAGCUCACUGGCGCUGUACCUGUGUGUGUGUGUGUGUGUGUGUGUGUGUGUGUUGUGUCUCGUCUCAGCCGGGUGUGAAGUUGUAAUAAGAGGUGAAAUUCGUUUAGUUUUCUCAAAAGCUCAGCACCAGGGUGUUUUUAUGAUUCUUCCAGACCCUAGUUCAACUAUCAUGAGAGCUUCACCCAGGGAUAAACGAAUUAAAAUACGAUUCACGUCAUUGCCACACGUCUGCCUCGGCACACAGGCCGGGUGAAGGCGAGGGUGCCAAUACUUUUAUCUAUGCAGAAGACGUACGGUAAGAAGAUGUGCAGCUUUGUUGGACGACGUUAAGGAACAACAAAAAGGUGUUCAGUGGCUGAAUCUCAAACUCUGUUUUGUGCUCUGCACUGGGUAGGGCACUGGGUAGGGUACUAGCUAGGGCACUAGGAAGGGCACU
Long non-coding RNA from Ictalurus punctatus (channel catfish), 618 nucleotides. Lineage: Eukaryota; Metazoa; Chordata; Actinopteri; Siluriformes; Ictaluridae. The record is from Ensembl.